CAACCAUCAAGAGCGGCUGAGAGAUCUGGCUCGUUGACGCCGCAGCAACCAUCGCCCGAUGGAAUUCCCCUUCCGGGGAAUCCGAUCGGCGAGGGUGCUAAGGCCAGAAGCGAUGGAGC
Molecule: non-coding RNA, 119 nt
Filed under: Arthrobacter sp.
Lineage: Bacteria; Bacillati; Actinomycetota; Actinomycetes; Micrococcales; Micrococcaceae
Description: SAM-I sequence
Rfam family: SAM riboswitch aptamer (S box leader)
About the family: The SAM riboswitch is found upstream of a number of genes which code for proteins involved in methionine or cysteine biosynthesis in Gram-positive bacteria. The SAM riboswitch acts at the level of transcription termination control.
Source: RNAcentral